RNAcentral lists this ribosomal RNA (295 nucleotides) under uncultured soil bacterium. RNAcentral describes it as "partial 16S ribosomal RNA". It matches the Rfam family "Bacterial small subunit ribosomal RNA", at positions 26 to 351 of the family's 1533-position model. The record is from RNAcentral.
AGAACGAACGCUGGCGGCAGGCCUAACACAUGCAAGUCGAACGCCCCGCAAGGGGAGUGGCAGACGGGUGAGUAACACGUGGGAACGUGCCCAAAGGUACGGAACAACUCCGGGAAACUGGAGCUAAUACCGUAUGUGCCCGAAAGGGGAAAGAUUCAUCGCCUUUGGAUCGGCCCGCGUCUGAUUAGCUAGUUGGCGGGGUAAUGGCCACCAAGGCGACGAUCAGUAGCUGGUCUGAGAGGAUGACCAGCCACACUGGGGACUGAGACACGGCCCAGACUCCUACGGGAGGCAG